UGGGGAAUAUUGCACAAUGGGCGCAAGCCUGAUGCAGCCAUGCCGCGUGUGUGAAGAAGGCCUUCGGGUUGUAAAGCACUUUCAGCGAGGAGGAAGGUGGUGGACUUAAUACGUUCAUCAAUUGACGUUACUCGCAGAAGAAGCACCGGCUAACUCCGUGCCAGCAGCCGCGGUAAUACGGAGGGUGCAAGCGUUAAUCGGAAUUACUGGGCGUAAAGCGCACGCAGGCGGUUUGUUAAGUCAGAUGUGAAAUCCCCGGGCUCAACCUGGGAACUGCAUUUGAAACUGGCAAGCUAGAGUCUCGUAGAGGGGGGUAGAAUUCCAGGUGUAGCGGUGAAAUGCGUAGAGAUCUGGAGGAAUACCGGUGGCGAAGGCGGCCCCCUGGACGAAGACUGACGCUCAGGCUGCGAAAGGCGUGGGGGCAGCAAACAGGAUUAGAUACCCUGGUAGUCCACGCUGUAAACGAUGUCGAUUUUGGAGGUUGUGCCCUUGAGGCGUGGCUUCCGGAGCUAACGCGUUAAAUCGACCGCCU
Molecule: ribosomal RNA, 532 nt
Filed under: uncultured bacterium
Lineage: Bacteria
Description: partial 16S ribosomal RNA
Rfam family: Bacterial small subunit ribosomal RNA
Source: RNAcentral